UACGAGGGGGGCGAGCGUUGUCCGGAAUCACUGGGCGUAAAGGGCGCGUAGGCGGCGCGGAUAGUCGGCGGUGAAAGCCCGGAGCUCAACUCCGGGUCGGCCGUCGAUACUUCCGGGCUUGAGCACUGUAGAGGCAGAUGGAAUUCCGGGUGUAGCGGUGGAAUGCGUAGAGAUCCGGAAGAACACCGGUGGCGAAGGCGGUCUGCUGGGCAGUUGCUGACGCUGAUGUGCGAAAGCUAGGGGAGCGAACGGG
RNAcentral lists this ribosomal RNA (253 nucleotides) under uncultured bacterium. RNAcentral's name for it is "partial 16S ribosomal RNA". It matches the Rfam family "Bacterial small subunit ribosomal RNA", at positions 524 to 776 of the family's 1533-position model. The record is from RNAcentral.